Long non-coding RNA from Sphaeramia orbicularis (orbiculate cardinalfish), 360 nucleotides. RefSeq lists it as uncharacterized. The record is from RefSeq and is a predicted model, not a curated record. Lineage: Eukaryota; Metazoa; Chordata; Actinopteri; Kurtiformes; Apogonidae. The transcript is spliced from 3 exons.
AGUACAGGCCGGACUGGGACCAACAUCCUGAUCGACACGGUUCUGAACCGCAUGGCCAAAGGUGAGAUGAUCAACAUCACUGCAAAGUUGGAACAUGUUCCUGACCAGCGUCCUGGGAUGGUUCGAACUAAGGACCAGUUUGAGUUUGCGUUGACCACUGUCACUGAGGAGGUCAACACCGUCCUCAAAGCCCUGCCGCAGUGAAACAGCACCCGCCUCUGACUCCGCCCCCAUCUCAGUCUCCGCCUCCUGAAUUCCACAUCUGUGUCUCCUUCCACUGCCUUUUUCUGUACAGUGAUGAUGAUGAUGAUGAUGAUGAUGAGUGGCGUUGUGCUUCUGUUGACACACUGACGCCCCAAC